AACACAUGCAAGUCGAACGAGGUCCAUGCAGUGGCAACACUGCGGACGACCUAGUGGCGAACGGGUGAGUAACACGUGAGGAACUUGCCCCGGAGACCGGGAUAAGCCCCCGAAAGGGGGUCUAAUACCGGAUGUCCUCACCGAGUCGCAUGGCUUGGUGAGGAAAUGGAUUCCGCUCCGGGAGAGCCUCGCGGCCUAUCAGCUAGUUGGUGGGGUAACGGCCCACCAAGGCGUCGACGGGUAGCUGGUCUGAGAGGACGAUCAGCCACACUGGGACUGAGACACGGCCCAGACUCCUACGGGAGGCAGCAGUGGGGAAUCUUGCGCAAUGGGCGAAAGCCUGACGCAGCAACGCCGCGUGCGGGAUGACGGCCCUCGGGUUGUAAACCGCUUUCAGUGGGGACGAACCAAGACGGUACCCACAGAAGAAGGUCCGGCCAAC
RNAcentral lists this ribosomal RNA (442 nucleotides) under grassland soil clone saf2_120. Its description in RNAcentral is "bacterial SSU rRNA". It matches the Rfam family "Bacterial small subunit ribosomal RNA", at positions 50 to 501 of the family's 1533-position model. The record is from RNAcentral.